GGUGAAAGCACAUUUGCUCCCCGGGUGGUUUUGGUAAUUAAUGACAACAUACUUUGUGGUUGGACUAAUGCUUUUAUCAAGUAUGUUUCAGGAAAUUCAAUCACAUUGGCAUGGCAAAAGGACUAAAGAAGUGGACCCCUCAAAAUGCUAAGGCAAGCAUUGGCAAAAGCUCAGCUAAGGCAAGCAUUGGCAAAAGCUCAAGACUCCAUUUUUGGUUUAGUGAUCCAAGAUCACAUUGAGUCCAUAGGAAAAGCCAAUACUAUUAAAAGGGGAUGAGGUUAUGAUGAUGAUCUGGUUGCUCAAGUGCUUAGUGAUACAUCUCCUAAACUAUCAGCAACUUUCACUGCCAUAUACACUCAUAAGUAGUCUCGGUCCCACCGAUAUUCCAAACUCAGUCACACCGAGAUGAACCACCUCAGCCAUAAGCCAAACCCUAGUAAACUCGGAUUUUCCGAUUCUGAACUCGGUCUCACCGAAACAUGAGUUGCCAAGCUUCUGUAACCUUCUGUCAUCAAAUCGGUGUCACCGAGAUGAUGAAGUCGGUCCCACCGAAACUAGCAUGCUCUUGUCAUUGCACGAAUCGGACUAACCGAGAUUGUAUAUUCGGUCCCACCAAAAAUCCCAACGUUCACAUUAUUUGAACUAUCGGUCUCACCGAGUUGUCCACUUCGGUCCCACCGAGAUUGCUCAAAUGUGUGUAACAGUUGGAUUUUGUGUGGAGGCUAUUUAUACCCCUCCACCCCCUCUUCAUUCGUGGAGAGAGCCAUCAGAAAGAACUACCACUCCUACCUUAUAUUUCUGAGAAGAGAACUACCUACCCUUGUGUUGAGAUCAAGUUGCUCCACUCCCACCAUAUGAAGCUUGAUCUCUAGCCUUCCCAAGUUGCUUUCCACUCAAUCCUUUCUUCCACCACAGCCAAAUCAGUGAGGAGAGUUGAGUGUUGGGGAGAUUAUCAUUUGAAGCACAAGAGCAAGGAGUUCAUCAUCAUCUACAACAUCUAUUACCUUUUGGAGGGUGGUGCCUCCUAGAUUGGUUAGGUGUCGCUUGGGAGCCUCCGUCAUCGAGAUGUGGAGUUGAACCAAGAAGUUUGUAAGGGCAAGGAGAUCGCCUACUUCGUGAAGAUCUACCCCGAGUAAGGCUAGCCCUCCGUGGGCGUAGGCCAUGAUGGAAUAGACAAGGUUGCUUCUUCGUGGACCCUUCGUGGGUGGAGCCCUCCGUGGACUCUCGCAGCCGUUACCCUCCGUGGGUUGAAGUCUCCAUCAACGUGGAAGUACGAUAGCACCACCUAUCGGAACCAUGAGAAAAAUCACCGCGUCUCCAAAUUGCGUUUGAUCUUCUCCACUUCUCUUUACUACUUGUGCAAUUUACUUUCCGCUGCCCAUACUCUAGAAUUGCACGUGUAGUGUGCUACUUGACUUGUGUGUUAUGCAAAAUCUGCCAAAAUCUGUUCUUAAUAAAAGACAGAAUUUUUAUCUUGUCGAGUAGUCUAAUCACCCCCCCUCUAGACACUCUCACCUUCUUCGAUCCCUCAAUUGGUAUCAGAGCUUUGGUCUCCAUUGCUUUGGUUUACACACCAUUGGAGGAAGAUGGACAUGUCUAUGUUUGGGAGUGUUAGCCAUAGAGUGCCUAUUCUUAAUGGAGUGUCCUAUAACUCGUGGAGGAUUGAAAUGCUUAUUAUCUUUAAUACUUACAACUUGCGCAAAUAUGUUGAGACCCCCUAUGUGCCUCCAUUUGACCCCUUGCACCCUACCAUGGAUGAAGAGCUUGAUUUGCUUCGUAACCUUAGGACUGUAAAUCUUAUCAUUAGAGGGUUACCCGAUAACUUGCUUAAGCUCGUUACAAACUUUGAGUGCGCCUAUGCUAUGUGGAAGUUCUUGGAAGAACUUUAUCCGGACUACUCUUUGAGAGGUCUUGAUGAAAUUCUAUACAAGACUAUUGAAUUUGAUAUGAUGCGCCCCAAUGAUCCCAACUUUGAUAAAUGCUUCUUUGAGCUUCGUGAUCUUAUGAAAAAGAAGGGUGAUCCCGGUCUUAUCAAUGUUCUAAUUAGAAAUGCUCUUGUAUUGCAUUCCGAUGAUUAUUGUCACAUUGACAAAACUAAUGCAAGUAGUUAUCAAAUUGACCUAGGUGUUGAUGAUGAACAAUCUAUGGGUCGAUAUGAUGAUGGGCAUGAGCAUGAUGAUGAUCACUCCGAUUCGGACACCGAGCUAGACAAGAUCAUGAAGAGUCUCAACCUUAUGGCAAAUCUGAGAGACUACAUAUCCGGCGGAAAAGAGUGGAUUCUUGAUAGUGGAUGCACCGACCACAUGACCGGAGACAAAGACAUGUUUCGAGAGCUUGCAAAGAACGAUGGUCCACGCAAGUAUGUGACUUUUGGAGACAACUCCAAGGGUAAGGUACUUGGCCUUGGUAAGGUGGCCAUAUCUCAUGAUAGCUCUAUUCAAAAUGUCAUGCUUGUAGAAUCUCUUGGAUACAAUUUACUUUCCGUGUCUAGAUUAGCUGACUUUGGAUUCAAUGUGCUAUUCACCGAAGUAGAUUGCCAAGUCUUUCGUCGUGACAAUCAUAACAUGGCGUUUACCGGUAUCCGCAGAGGUGAUCUAUAUAUUGUUGAUUUCACUAAGAAAGCCCAACCUAGAGCUUGCUUCAUUACUAAAUCAGCUAAAGGUUGGUUAUGGCAUAGAAGGCUUGGACAUGUUGGUAUGCGUAAUUUAGACAAGCUGAUCAAAGGUGAUCAUAUUCUUGGCGUUAAAGAUGUUUUCUUUGACAAAGAUAGACUUUGUAGUGCUUGUCAAGCAGGAAAACAAGUAGGUGGAAGUCAUCCCGUGAAGAACAUCAUGACCACAAGGAGACCGCUUGAGCUUCUUCAUAUGGAUCUCUUUGGUCCCAAUGCUUACAAAAGCCUUGGUGGUAACUCCUUUGGUCUAGUUAUAGUUGAUGAUUAUUCCAGAUUUAUGUGGGUAUUUUUCCUUGAUGACAAAUCGCAGGUUCAGAGGAUCUUCAAAACCUUUGCCAGAAAGGCCCAAAAUCAAUUUGAGGUGAAGAUCAAGAAAGUUCGGAGUGACAAUGGAACGGAGUUCAAGAACGCUAAUGUAGACUCUUUUCUCGAUGAGGAAGGGAUUCUACAUGAGUUCUCGGCUACGUACACUCCUCAACAAAAUGGAGUUGUUGAGAGGAAGAACCGAACGCUCAUAGAGAUGGCGAGAACGAUGCUUGAUGAAUACAAGACACCGAAGCAUUUUUGGGGGGAAGCGGUCGAGACAGCUUGUCAUGCUAUCAACAGGCUUUAUCUUCAUAAGCUCCUCGGCAAGACAUCAUACGAGCUCCUCACCGGUAACAAACCCCAAGUGGGAUACUUUCGUGUCUUUGGUUCAAAAUGUUAUAUCCUUGAUAAGCAUCGUCGGUCUAAAUUUGCUCCUAAAACUCAUGAAGGCUUUUUCCUUGGUUAUGGAUCAAACUCCCACACCUACCGUGUCUACAAUAAUUUCACCCGAAAGGUUGAAGAGACGGUAGACGUGAAGUUUGAUGAAUCUAAUGGCUCGCAAGUAGAGCAAAUGCCUAUUGAUGUAGGAGACAAGGACCCAUCAGAAGCUAUCCAAGAUUUAUCUAUUGGAAAGAUCCGUCCCAUGGAAGUGAAGGAGAGUACCUCAUCUACAUAUGUGGAGCCCCCUACCUCACGGCGAGAUGAACCUCAAGGCAACAUGGAGGCCUCCACAAGUGGAACUCACCAAGAUGAGGAAGUGCAACAAGAAGAUCCACCACAACCUCCUUCUCCACCGCCUCAAGACAACACCAACAACAAUGAAGAAGAAGAAGAGGAAGAUGAAGAUGAUGAGGAAGCUCAGCCACAACCUCAACAAAAGCUAUCCUGAGUCUGAGCAAGAGUCAAGAAAAAUCAUCCCGUGGAACAAAUGAUGAACGACAUCAACUCCGGGAGAAUUACUCGCUCUAAAACUCGCUUAGCUAACUUUUGUGAGCAUUACUCAUUUAUCUCUAGUAUUGAACCUAUGAAGGUAGAAGAAGCACUUGAAGACCCGGAUUGGGUGAACGCUAUGCACGAAGAGCUACACAACUUCGAGAGGAACAAUGUAUGGACUUUGGUAGAGAAGCCCAAGGAUGAUCAAAACGUCAUUGGAACCAAAUGGGUGUUUCGGAACAAGCAAGAUGAAGAUGGACAAGUCAUCCUCAACAAGGCUCGUCUCGUAGCUCAAGGUUACACACAAGUCGAAGGUAUGGACUAUGGUGAGACCUAUGCCCCCGUUGCUAGACUUGAGUCCAUUCGCAUUCUUCUUGCUUUUGCCAAUCACCAUGAUAUUACUCUCUAUCAAAUGGAUAUCAAAAGUGCUUUCCUAAAUGGUGAAAUUGAGGAGGAAGUAUUUGUGAAACAACCUCCCGGAUUUGUGAAUCCCAAAAAGCCUAAUCAUGUUUACAAGUUGCACAAAGCUCUUUAUGGUCUUAAACAAGCUCCUAGAGCUUGGUACAAAUGCUUGACUAGCUUUCUUCUUGAAAAAGGCUUUGAGAUUGGAAAGAUAGACUCAACGCUGUUCACGAAAAGGGUUGAUGGUGAACUAUUUGUGUGCCAAAUAUAUGUUGAUGAUAUUAUCUUUGGUUCAACUAACCCUCAUUUUAGCGAGAAGUUUGGAAAGCUCAUGUCGGAGAAGUAUGAGAUGUCCAUGAUGAGUGAACUCAAAUUCUUCCUUGGGUUGCAAAUCAAGCAAUCUAAGGAGGGUACCUUUGUCUCACAAACAAAGUACACCAAGGAUCUCUUCAAGAAGUUCAACAUGCAAGAAAGCAAAGGUAUGAGAACCCCCAUGCCUACAAGUGGACAUAAUGACUUGACAAAAGAUGGAGAACCCGUUGAUCAAAAGGUUUACCGAUCUAUGAUUGGUUCUCUACUAUAUCUUUGUGCUUCUCGUCCUGACAUAAUGUUGAGUGUAUGCAUGUGUGCUCGAUAUCAAGAAGCCCCUAAAGAAUGUCAUCUUAAAGCUGUUAAAAGGAUUGUGAGAUAUUUGAUACACACACCAAACUUUGGCAUUUGGUAUCCUAAGAGGGCCUCUUUCGACCUUGUUGGCUAUUCCGACUCGGACUAUGCCGGAGAUAGGGUUGAUAGAAAGUCAACUUCGGGUACGUGUCAAUUCCUUGGUCGAUCCCUUGUAUCUUGGUCCUCCAAGAAACAAAAUUCGGUAUCAUUAUCCACUGCCGAAGCGGAAUAUAUUGCUGCUGGUUCGUGUUGUGCUCAAUUACUAUGGAUGACACAAACGCUUAAGGAUUAUGGGAUACAUGUGAGACAUGUUCCCUUGCUUUGUGACAAUGAGAGUGCGAUUAAAAUUGGACACAAUCCCGUGCAACACUCUUGAACGAAACAUAUUGAAGUUCGUCACCAUUUCAUUCGUGAUCACAUUGCCAAGGGUGACAUCAAUCUUAAGCAUGUUCGUACUGACAAACAACUCGCUGAUAUCUUUACAAAACCUCUUGAUGAGAAGGUGUUUUGUCACUUAAGGAGUGAGUUGAACAUCAUUGAUGCUUCAAACUUGGAGUGAGAACUCCAUUGAUGCAUGCAAGGCAUGAGCCCACUUGACUAAUCCUUGAUAUUUCUCUUAUGAUGGUAAUCAUAUAUCUUGGACACAUUUGCCUCCUUGUAUUGCAUCUAACUCCUUGCAGGUACUUGGAUGAUCUACAUUCCACAAGAUUACCACACACUCAAAUCAUGAGUAAUCUUGUCAUUGACCAAGUAUCUAGCCCUUUUGGGAUGUUGAGUUCAAGGAACAAAAUUCCACAUAUCCUUUUUGACAUCUUAUACAUCUAGUAUUUCACUCUUGUCAUCUUGGAUAUCCUUGAGUAUUUCCUUGCUUGCCUAACCCAUGUAGGAAGAUGAACUACACAAGUGGAAAUGGCGCUCCAACUUCACAUUCAAUGAGCACCUACAUCAAGUUCACCUACAUGAACAAAGCAACAACAAGCCCAAGGUAUGUUCUUCACAUCUUUAAGGAGCUUUGCUCAAAGUCAUGAGUACAAGCAGCUUCAUAAGAUGUGAUCACAUCGAAUGCCUAAUCGAAAAAUGGCAACCCCAUUUUGAGCUUAAAUGAUGAGUAUGACCUAUGAUCAAAUGUCCUCAUUUGACUCCUAAGUCAAUAUACUCAAACAUAGGUGACCUUGUCGCCGACCUUUAUCUAGAUGAAGUACAUAUGUUUUGGAGUCUUUCUAUUUUCUCUUAUUUUCUCUCAUUGAGUUUUCAUUAAAAAAAACUUCAUCUAGGAAUCUUUUUCAUUUCUAUUCUUCUGUCUUUGUGAAUAUCCUUCUGGCUCUGAUCAAUUCCUCGAAAAUCAUUCACAAAUUCAUUGCAAAUCCUUUGAAACAUUCCUCGCAAAGUGAGAUGAAUUAUUUCUGUAUUUCCUUGAAAUUAAACUCGGCGUCACCGAUUUAACUAUUUCGGUCUAACCGAAAAGGAUCUACCCUAAGUCCCUGAUUCGGACCCACCGAUCCAUCCUAAUUCGGUGUCAUCGAUUUAUUUCUUCCAGGAUAUCAUCUUCUGCAGCUCCACUCAAUGAUUCUCUAUGCAUGUUCCUUUUUGCCCUGUUGUGAUUCUUAAGGAUCCCACUUCUUUCUUUCCAUCUUCCCUAACCUUCCUAGUUCGCUGUCCUUUUCGGCACUUGAUGUCAAAGGGGGAGAAGACUUAGGGGGAGAAGAGAAGAUUUAGGGGGAGAAGAAGAGCAAUCUUACCUUAAGGGGGAGAGAAUCACAUCAAAGCUUUGCCGUGUUUUUCCUUAUAAGAGAAUUUCUUGCCCCUUGAUCUGAGAGAACUCAAAGGGAGAGGAAUCUUCACAAUUGAUAUCUUAUGGAAAGCAAAAUCUCUCAGAGUUCAUUGAAAAUCUUUUAGUUUCGGAGACAUGUUUGCUGAUUCAAGCUUGUGCUCAAUAUGAGACACUCUUUAUACAUGUCAUCCCUGGCUUGGUACUCUUGAUGUUCUUGUAGUUAGUUGAAGAAAUACUCUUGUGUUAUCUAACCUUGUUUUCCCAAGUUUAUCUCUUCAGGUACAAUGCCAAGGAACCUCAAGGUAAGUAUAUGCACUUUGCAGAAUGUGCAUGAUGGUGACUUGCUUGUGAAUACUUGUUUGCAAGAAAUCACCAUGCACAUAUGCAUUAUCACUCACUUCUUUUCAUCUGCUCUGAUGCAUAUAGCCAAGCUGCAUGUAGCACAUCUUGCUUCUCUCUCUUGUGUGCUUGUGGUAGUCCAAAACCAUAAUUUAUGAAAAUCUUGCACACUUGUAGGGGGAGCCUGUGUACUACAUGUUUGUCAAAGCUUUCGUGAUAAUUCUGUCUUUCUUUCAAUAAGCUUUGAUGUCUUGUUUAGUGUGUUGCCAUCAAUUACCAAAAAGGGGGAGAUUGAAAGCACAUUUGCUCCCCGGGUGGUUUUGGUAAUUAAUGACAACAUACUUUGUGGUUGGACUAAUGCUUUUAUCAAGUAUGUUUCAGGAAAUUCAAUCACAUUGGCAUGGCAAAAGGACUAAAGAAGUGGACCCCUCAAAAUGCUAAGGCAAGCAUUGGCAAAAGCUCAGCUAAGGCAAGCAUUGGCAAAAGCUCAAGACUCCAUUUUUGGUUUAGUGAUCCAAGAUCACAUUGAGUCCAUAGGAAAAGCCAAUACUAUUAAAAGGGGAUGAGGUUAUGAUGAUGAUCUGGUUGCUCAAGUGCUUAGUGAUACAUCUCCUAAACUAUCAGCAACUUUCACUGCCAUAUACACUCAUAAGUAGUCUCGGUCCCACCGAUAUUCCAAACUCAGUCACACCGAGAUGAACCACCUCAACCAUAAGCCAAACCCUAGUAAACUCGGAUUUUCCGAUUCUGAACUCGGUCUCACCGAAACAUGAGUUGCCAAGCUUCUGUAACCUUCUGUCAUCAAAUCGGUGUCACCAAGAUGAUGAAGUCGGUCCCACCGAAACUAGCAUGCUCUUGUCAUUGCACGAAUCGGACUAACCGAGAUUGUAUAUUCGGUCCCACCGAAAAUCCCAACGUUCACAUUAUUUGAACUAUCGGUCUCACCGAGUUGUCCACUUCGAUCCCACCGAGAUUGCUCAAAUGUGUGUAACGGUUGGAUUUUGUGUGGAGGCUAUUUAUACCCCUCCACCCCCUCUUCAUUCGUGGAGAGAGCCAUCAGAAAGAACUACCACUCCUACCUUAUAUUUCUGAGAAGAGAACUACCUACCCUUGUGUUGAGAUCAAGUUGCUCCACUCCCACCAUAUGAAGCUUGAUCUCUAGCCUUCCCAAGUUGCUUUCCACUCAAUCCUUUCUUCCACCACAGCCAAAUCAGUGAGGAGAGUUGAGUGUUGGGGAGAUUAUCAUUUGAAGCACAAGAGCAAGGAGUUCAUCAUCAUCUACAACAUCUAUUACCUUUUGGAGGGUGGUGCCUCCUAGAUUGGUUAGGUGUCGCUUGGGAGCCUCCGUCAUCGAGAUGUGGAGUUGAACCAAGAAGUUUGUAAGGGCAAGGAGAUCGCCUACUUCGUGAAGAUCUACCCCGAGUAAGGCUAGCCCUCCGUGGGCGUAGGCCAUGAUGGAAUAGACAAGGUUGCUUCUUCGUGGACCCUUCGUGGGUGGAGCCCUCCGUGGACUCUCGCAGCCGUUACCCUCCGUGGGUUGAAGUCUCCAUCAACGUGGAAGUACGAUAGCACCACCUAUCGGAACCACGAGAAAAAUCACCGCGUCUCCAAAUUGCGUUUGAUCUUCUCCACUUCUCUUUACUACUUGUGCAAUUUACUUUCCGCUGCCCAUACUCUAGAAUUGCACGUGUAGUGUGCUACUUGACUUGUGUGUUAUGCAAAAUCUGCCAAAAUCUGUUCUUGAUAAAACAUAAUUUUUAUCUUGUCGAGUAGUCUAAUCACCCCCCCUCUAGACACUCUCAC
Molecule: long non-coding RNA, 8888 nt
Filed under: Triticum aestivum (bread wheat)
Lineage: Eukaryota; Viridiplantae; Streptophyta; Magnoliopsida; Poales; Poaceae
Description: long non-coding RNA (TAES_LNC015642)
Source: RNAcentral